CCUACGGGAGGCUGCAGUGGGGAAUAUUGCACAAUGGACGAGAGUCUGAACCAGCCAAGUAGCGUGAAGGAUGACUGCCCUAUGGGUUGUAAACUUCUUUUAUAUGGGAAUAAAACGUUCCACGUGUGGGAUUUUGUAUGUACCAUAUGAAUAAGGAUCGGCUAACUCCGUGCCAGCAGCCGCGGUAAUACGGAGGAUCCGAGCGUUAUCCGGAUUUAUUGGGUUUAAAGGGAGCGUAGGUGGAUUGUUAAGUCAGUUGUGAAAGUUUGCGGCUCAACCGUAAAAUUGCAGUUGAAACUGGCAGUCUUGAGUACAGUAGAGGUGGGCGGAAUUCGUGGUGUAGCGGUGAAAUGCUUAGAUAUCACGAAGAACUCCGAUUGCGAAGGCAGUUCACUGGACUGCAACUGACACUGAGGCUCGAAAGUGUGGGUAUCAAACAGGAUUAGAUACCCUUGUAGUC
This 460-nucleotide ribosomal RNA is filed under the name uncultured bacterium. RNAcentral's name for it is "partial 16S ribosomal RNA". It matches the Rfam family "Bacterial small subunit ribosomal RNA", at positions 338 to 795 of the family's 1533-position model. The record is from RNAcentral.